Molecule: ribosomal RNA, 248 nt
Filed under: uncultured bacterium
Lineage: Bacteria
Description: partial 16S ribosomal RNA
Rfam family: Bacterial small subunit ribosomal RNA
Source: RNAcentral
CUAGCCGUAAACGAUGGACACUAGGUGUCGGGGGUGUCGACUCCCUCGGUGCCGAAGCUAACGCAUUAAGUGUCCCGCCUGGGGAGUACGGCCGCAAGGCUAAAACUCAAAGGAAUUGACGGGGGCCCGCACAAGCAGUGGAGCAUGUGGUUUAAUUCGACGCAACGCGAAGAACCUUACCUGGGCUUGACAUGUACGUGGUAGGAAGCGGAAACGUGACCGACCCCUAGGGGAGCGUACACAGGUGG